GUGAAACCUGUAACUUGUGUAUUGACAGUUUUUCUGGCAAAAAAAAAUACAUCUAAAUGUGCCAAUAUGCUCAAUGCCUACUAAAAAAAACCUAUAUUGCAUAUGUGCAAACAGCUUUUUUUUUCACCACUCUUUACAUACUGUAUUUUAAAUUUAAUCAGGAAGAUAAUUAAUAUUGUAAUGUGUAAUCACAUUCAGUAAAUAAGCAGAGGUAUGGAAGUUGAAUUGAAAUAACAUUUCUACGUUAGCUGCUAUUUAAU
Molecule: non-coding RNA, 260 nt
Organism: Pelobates cultripes (western spadefoot toad)
Lineage: Eukaryota; Metazoa; Chordata; Amphibia; Anura; Pelobatidae
Source: the annotation of a GenBank genome assembly